Spinacia oleracea (spinach) is the source of this 1084-nucleotide long non-coding RNA. RefSeq lists it as uncharacterized. The transcript is spliced from 3 exons. NCBI's taxonomy places the organism in Eukaryota, Viridiplantae, Streptophyta, Magnoliopsida, Caryophyllales, Amaranthaceae. The record is from RefSeq and is a predicted model, not a curated record.
CUCUCUCUCCAAUUCCUCUUUCUCUCUCUUCGAAUCUGACCACCAACAUCCAGCGAUUGCCUCUCGCCGGUCGCCGGUCACUGCUUACCGGUCGCCGCUCGCCUGUCGCCAGUCGCCAGUCAUCGCUCGUAUCUCGCGGUUAUGGCGUCGGUUGUUAUCGCGGUUCUGCUCGCCGUUCGCUGCUCUUGGUGGUGGUUGUGGUUCAAACCUCUCUCCACCGCCGUUGUUCUCCUUUCGCCGCCGCCGGUCACAACAAUUAAAUCGCUGCCGAUCGCAGCGCUGUUGUUUGAAAUUGAAAUCGUUGGUGGUCGAAAUCGCUCGUACCACCACCAACAUUGGCUCACCGCCGCUCUUUGGUCGCCGCCCUCCGCCGCUCUUUGAUCUCCGCUCGCCGCCUCUCUCCGAUCUCCACUCAUUGCAAUUCUAAUCGCAGUCACCAAACAAAAAAUCGAAAUCGAUUUAUCAAUCGAUUUAAAUGCUGAAUUUGAUGAAUUUUCUGACAAAAUUUAUCAAAGAUAGAGGUAAAAGAUAUGAAUCUAGUUGAUUUAAAUUUCUAAAUUUUGAUUUUAUCGAAUUAGGGUGUAUAUUGUACAAUUUCACUGACAUUUUAUUGUAAUUUCCUACUGCAAUUUCGGGCUUCCAUCAAACUUUUGACUACAAUUUCAUUUGCGAUGUUCAAUUCCUCCCACACAUCUGCAUAUUUAAGCUCGAGGUCAGGUUGUCAAUAUAUUUGCAUAUAUAUAUAUAUAUAUGCAAGCAUAUUUUCCUCUCUCAUGCAGUAUUGAAAACUCGGAAGACUUAUCAAAAUGAUGAUGUGGCAAGCCACAUAGGAGACCAGCUGUUUUUGUUUUUGUCAUUAAGGGCCUAUCGAGUGCUUGCAGAGUUACGGUGUGAAAAAAAAAAAUUAGAUUUUAUUAAAAGGAAAGAGUGUAAUAUUUGUGAAACUGUCUUUAAAAGAAAAUUAUUGCAAUACCUGAAAAACAGGAAAGUAUAAAGUAGGAAAUGGUUAUGAGUUUUACUGUUAUAUUCCUUGUAGAAUUGGGCCAGUUGGCCUUCCACCUUAACUUAUUUGACCUUCUAAAGA